GGGUUAACUGUUUGUAUAGUUGGAUAUUGUUUCUCGUAGUUGCGUAUCUUUAAGGACUCAUAAUCCGUUGGUGCUCGGUUCGACUCCGAGGAGGCCCACCA
Molecule: transfer RNA, 101 nt
Filed under: Methylovorus glucosotrophus SIP3-4
Lineage: Bacteria; Pseudomonadati; Pseudomonadota; Betaproteobacteria; Nitrosomonadales; Methylophilaceae
Description: tRNA-Ile2 (CAT) (tRNA-Ile2-CAT-2-1)
Source: RNAcentral